AUUCGACAAUAGCAAACCUAGCGAAAGCCAGGGACGCAAAGCUAUGGGUCUUCCUGGAUACACUCCUGAUGAUCGCCAAGCUACCGAA
Non-coding RNA from Desulfitobacterium hafniense Y51, 88 nucleotides. The record is from Rfam. Lineage: Bacteria; Bacillati; Bacillota; Clostridia; Eubacteriales; Desulfitobacteriaceae.